Molecule: ribosomal RNA, 585 nt
Filed under: Pantorhytes huonarius
Lineage: Eukaryota; Metazoa; Arthropoda; Insecta; Coleoptera; Curculionidae
Description: SSU rRNA
Rfam family: Eukaryotic small subunit ribosomal RNA
Source: RNAcentral
UUGUCUCAAAGAUUAAGCCAUGCAUGUCUCAGUACAAGCCAAAUUAAGGUGAAACCGCGAAAGGCUCAUUAAAUCAGUUAUGGUUCCUUAGAUCGUACCCACAAUUACUUGGAUAACUGUGGUAAUUCUAGAGCUAAUACAUGCAAACAGAGCUCCGACCGGAGACGGAAGGAGUGCUUUUAUUAGAUCAAAACCAAUCGGUGGCGAGUUGGUGACUCUGAAUAACUUUACGCUGAUCGCACGGUCUCGCACCGGCGACGCAUCUUUCAAAUGUCUGCCUUAUCAACUGUCGAUGGUAGGUUCUGCGCCUACCAUGGUUGUAACGGGUAACGGGGAAUCAGGGUUCGAUUCCGGAGAGGGAGCCUGAGAAACGGCUACCACAUCCAAGGAAGGCAGCAGGCGCGCAAAUUACCCACUCCCGGCACGGGGAGGUAGUGACGAAAAAUAACGAUACGGGACUCAUCCGAGGCCCCGUAAUCGGAAUGAGUACACUCUAAACCCUUUAACGAGGAUCAAUUGGAGGGCAAGUCUGGUGCCAGCAGCCGCGGUAAUUCCAGCUCCAAUAGCGUAUAUUAAAGUUGUUGC